Ameiurus melas (black bullhead) is the source of this 68-nucleotide non-coding RNA. NCBI's taxonomy places the organism in Eukaryota, Metazoa, Chordata, Actinopteri, Siluriformes, Ictaluridae. The record is from the annotation of a GenBank genome assembly.
GCAGCUGUGGCUCAGGUGGUAGAGCAUACCACUAAUCGUAGGGUUGGUGGUUCGAUUCCCGAGUGACU